Nerophis lumbriciformis (worm pipefish) is the source of this 141-nucleotide small nuclear RNA. RefSeq annotates it as U4 spliceosomal RNA. NCBI's taxonomy places the organism in Eukaryota, Metazoa, Chordata, Actinopteri, Syngnathiformes, Syngnathidae. The record is from RefSeq and is a predicted model, not a curated record.
AGCCUUGCUCAGUGGCAGUAUCGUAGCCCAUGAAGUCUAUCUGAGGCGCGAUUAUUGCUAGUUGAAAACUUUACCCAAUACCCCGCCUGGACGACCUGCAAUAUGGUCGGCUAUGGCAAUUUUUGACAGUCCCUACGGGGA